RNAcentral lists this ribosomal RNA (429 nucleotides) under Fusobacteriota bacterium. RNAcentral describes it as "Fusobacteria bacterium partial 16S ribosomal RNA". It matches the Rfam family "Bacterial small subunit ribosomal RNA", at positions 355 to 776 of the family's 1533-position model. Lineage: Bacteria; Fusobacteriati; Fusobacteriota. The record is from RNAcentral.
UGGGGAAUCUUCCGCAAUGGACGAAAGUCUGACGGAGCAACGCCGCGUGAGUGAAGACGGCCUUCGGGUUGUAAAGCUCUGUUAUUCGGGAAGAACGAUUCGUUUGUGAACAAUGAACGGAAGUGACGGUACCGAAAGAGAAAGCCACGGCUAACUACGUGCCAGCAGCCGCGGUAAUACGUAGGUGGCAAGCGUUGUCCGGAAUUAUUGGGCGUAAAGAGCGCGUAGGCGGUAUGGUAAGUCCAUCUUAAAAGUGCGGGGCUUAACCCCGUGAUGGGAUGGAAACUGGGAAGCUGGAGUAUCGGAGAGGAAAGUGGAAUUCCUAGUGUAGCGGUGAAAUGCGUAGAGAUUAGGAAGAACACCGGUGGCGAGGGCGACUUUCUGGACGAAAACUGACGCUGAGGCGCGAAAGCGUGGGGAGCAAACAGG